ACAGGGACAAUGGUCAGAACGGUCAUGUAGUAUGCGGAAAGUGUAUGUUCCUUUUUUUUGCUUUGCCCAAAUACGAGAGAAAAGAUGGGCGAGCGCCGUUCAUCUUGAUCAAUGUUAAGAUAUGUGGAAAAGUGGCAUCAUGUUAUAACUUAUGGUGGCAUGAUUCAUCAGUCUGGCACAACUCUCUCAAUUGGCUGAUUCAGCUCAACCACACACAUUAUGGACAACCGAGUGAAUGUAGUGCUACCUACGGAUGUAGACACACAAACCGACCGACCGAUCGACCAAGCGCAACUAGGCACGCACACAAGCGUUCCAUGAUCUCGGGUGACCGACUAUUGAAACUCACCCAAGUGCAGUAGUUGGCCAAGUCCUUCGUUGUCCGUCUAUCCAUCCAUACAUUUAUCUAUCCAUCCAUCCAUCCAUCUAUCCAUCUACCUACCUACCUACCUACCUACCUACCUACCUACCUACCUACCUAUCUAUCUAUCUAUCUUUCCAACCUUAGACUAUGAACGUAAGAGCUAGCUAACUUGCUUGCUUGCUUAUGGCUGGCUGGUUACCUCUCAUUCUCUCUCAUCGCUGUCCGGUAGAACUCAUGCGAAGGCCGAAGAAUGAGGAGAAAGGCUGGUAGCACGAAAUUUGAUCUCAUUUUGACAUCUUCUGAUCCUGGGCUCAGCAUCACGGACUACUGCUAUGGCUAGAAUUUCUUCGCUGCCAGCCUCCCAGUCAACCCUCUCUGAGGAUAGUAAAUUACAACAUCUAUCACAUGUCCUCGGAAUUUUAAUCAAUCAAUGAGAUUGAUUUUUUUCCUGUCCUCUCAGAUGAAACGAGUUCAUCCUAGGAGAGCACAAGUCACUUCUUCCGUUCUUUUUCAUACCCCAACGUCAUGCAGUACAUUUGCCAGUAUCUUCAAGUCGUGUCAGAUUUGGCUUUCGGCGCACAUACGGAAAAGCAACGCAAGUAGAUUCGUACCUCCUUGACGUUGGGCAAAAAGUUAUUUUUCAUCGAAAAGCCAAAUCUUCGACAACUUUGGAGCUACUCAAUGCUACAUCCUUGCUUCCUCGCUAAUACCGAGAUUUGACCAACACCCAGCCGACAAAGCAAGUGAGCACAUUGCUGCCGUCUCAAUCUUAAUAUCAAUACAACAGAAUGAUGACAUGCUUUUUCCUCUUCUCUCGAUGCUUGUUGUCUCUUCCUUUUCAAUCGUGGAUGCAUAAUUUCAAAAUGUUCAGAGGAGGAAUCAAACUUGCGACCCUUGCUUAGAAGGCGAGCACGCUACCCACUGCAUCAAUUCUCGGGUAGCAUGCCCGUUUCACAAAAAGCAAAGGCGCUUUUGAAACGAUCAAGCCUACGAUGUUGUUUCAGAAAGUAAAAAAGUUAGCGGUUACCGUCCAAGCAGUUUCGAGAUCGAGAAUUAUUUGUUCAAUGUUAAAGAUCUACCUACCCCCAUUUACCAGAUAACAUGAGCAUCAAAUAGCCUCAUUUCCAGGUCGUGUUCUUCCGUCCCCUUUAGCGUUUAGCGUCGUCGAGCAGUGGUGGUAAUGGCACGACAACGGCGAUGACAAAAGGUUGAAGAUGUUAAGUUCCAGACGAUGGGGGAAGAAAAAGGGACCCGAGGAAAGAGUAUAAGCAAGUGGGCACACCACUCACCACUGGUCUUACGUGAGGAGAGGCGGGAAAAGACGAAAAAGGGAGGACCGUGGAUGAAGGUAGUAACAAUCUCCUUGACCAUGAAUUUAGAGCCAUUUUUACGGCAUACGGGAUCAGGACCGACAAUGGCCAUCAUGCUGGUAACGAGAAGUGUGGACCGAGCGGGCAGCGACUUGGAACUGGCGAAGAACACAAUUCACGAAAAGCUUUGAGCUUCGAGCUUCUUUCCAAUCCAUUGAAAGUGGCACAAAAUCACCACUUCGUCUUAUUCUGCUUACCCUGAAGCAUUCAAAGAAAGUACGUGGAGCGAAAGAACGACUGACUAAGAAGGGCCUGAGUCCUUACGCAGGCUCAUCUGACCUUGCAUUAAUGUAUUACUAUCACGACGCAUGACGAGCUUACGGCUAACCCCGACCACCCCACCCCGACUGAUCGUUUCACAUGGAGUCCAAGUCACAUGAAGUUCAACUUUGUGGUCUACACGAUCAAGUUCCAUGAAGGGGACAAGUAAGCAAAAGGGUGCCAACAGCUCGAUCUUCAGUGUUGUUUCCUUCUCAAUUCCCUCUUUUUAUAUCCAAUCCUGAGAAGCGGAAGAGGCGGAUUGUUCCUCCUCGGAGUUUGAACGCCCCCACAACUUCGACUAAGAGGAGAGGAUCAAAUACUUUCACGAGUCCAUACGAAAAAUAUGGGUCGAGACAAUCACAAAAAACACGAUCCAACCCAAAGAAUACACACAUCUUGAGGUUACCCGCGCGAUUGAGAAAACACGACCAAAGGGAACAGAAGAGGUCCUUGGGCCACUUCCGUGUCAAAUUUAGGUCAUCAUCAGCUUUUUGUCCCAUCUCCUCUUUUGCGUCUAAUCAAUGACUUGCUAUACAUCAAGAAAAAAUAUGUUUGUUAGGUGGCAAGGUAUUGGCUCGGUUUUUUUCUCAAUUCGAACAAGAGGUCGAGGAGGCUGGCCCGGCAGACUGACGAACGAAUGAAUGAACUAACGAACGAGCGAAGGAGCCCUCUCCCAUCCAACUAACCAUCUUGAUCUUACUCUUGUCCCAUUUUCAGAACUCGUGGUAAGCCAUACUCGAAAGAAUGAUUGGGGACGGACCUAGGCUCGAGGGCUACUUCGCUUCUCUUGUGAACGUGUCGUUUAUCACAAUCUAUGUAGUCAUUGAGCUGACGAGGAAAAUGGCUCGAAUUCAAGAGCCUCGUGGCCAGAUCAGUUUCGAUCCCUAACCAACUGGUCCCGUCGCAAACCUCUGCUAGAAUAAAACAAACCCUAGAUCCAGGCACGGAAACCCCAUGGACAUAUAUAGAUAGCAUUGUGGAGUUAACGCGUAUUGUCGUCCCAUAAUGUCGAGAAGAUGAUGUUGCUCGAAUGAAGCUAUGUAACGUGUUUUCAUGAUCUCAAACAAACUGUGAAUUGAUAAAUUGAACUAUUGAUUAGGGAACCCUCGUACAUGGCAGAGAAUAAACCUGGGAUACCCAGUUGGCAAAAUAUACUUUAAAAUAGAUUAGGUAACCAAGGGUUCAGGGAAAAGUGCUAUUUGCUCACACAAAGUGGAAUAUUUGAGCAAAUGUUUUCCCAAUAUUUUGCGCUGAAUUCAACGGCUUGAAAAAUCCAUGGAAAAGUUAAAAUAUGUAAUUUUCGUCACCGUUAAAAACGUU
Tigriopus californicus is the source of this 3315-nucleotide long non-coding RNA. RefSeq lists it as uncharacterized. Lineage: Eukaryota; Metazoa; Arthropoda; Copepoda; Harpacticoida; Harpacticidae. The record is from RefSeq and is a predicted model, not a curated record. The transcript has 3 exons.